This 989-nucleotide ribosomal RNA is filed under the name human gut metagenome. RNAcentral describes it as "bacterial LSU rRNA". It matches the Rfam family "Bacterial large subunit ribosomal RNA", at positions 1934 to 2925 of the family's 2925-position model. The record is from RNAcentral.
CCGUAACUAUAACGGUCCUAAGGUAGCGAAAUUCCUUGUCGGGUAAGUUCCGACCCGCACGAAAGGCGUAAUGAUUUGGGCACUGUCUCGACAAUGCACCCGGUGAAAUUGAAAUACCAGUGAAGAUGCUGGUUACCUGCGCCAGGACGGAAAGACCCCAUGGAGCUUUACUCCAGCUUGAUACUGGGAUUCGGUAUUGCAUGUACAGGAUAGGUGGGAGGCUAGGAAAUGGUAACGCCAGUUGCCAUGGAGCCAAUGUUGGGAUACCACCCUUGCAGUACUGGGUUUCUAACCAGUUGCCAUGAACUGGCAAUGGGACAAUGUCAGGCGGGGAGUUUGACUGGGGCGGUCGCCUCCGAAAGGGUAUCGGAGGCGCUCAAAGGUUCCCUCAGAAUGGUUGGAAACCAUUCGAAGAGUGCAAAGGCAGAAGGGAGCUUGACUGCGACACCGACGGGUGGAGCAGGUACGAAAGUAGGACUUAGUGAUCCGGUGGUAUGAAAGUGGGAUUGCCAUCGCUCAACGGAUAAAAGCUACCCUGGGGAUAACAGGCUUAUCACUCCCAAGAGUUCACAUCGACGGAGUGGUUUGGCACCUCGAUGUCGGCUCAUCGCAUCCUGGGGCUGUAGUAGGUCCCAAGGGUUGGGCUGUUCGCCCAUUAAAGCGGUACGCGAGCUGGGUUCAGAACGUCGUGAGACAGUUCGGUCCCUAUCUGUCGUGGGCGAAGGAUAUUUGAAAGGAGCUGUCCCUAGUACGAGAGGACCGGGAUGGACGCACCUCUGGUGCACCAGUUGUCACGCCAGUGGCACAGCUGGGCAGCUAAGUGCGGAUCGGAUAAACGCUGAAAGCAUCUAAGCGUGAAGCCGUCCUUAAGAUAAGAUAUCCCACUUUUAAGUUAAGACCCCUUGUAGACUACGAGGUUGAUAGGUCUAAGGUGUAAGUUGUGUGAGCAAUUUAGCCAGCAGAUACUAAUCGGUCGAGGGCUUAAACCU